AAUGGAAUACAGUGCCAAUGCGUGCGUGAGUCUAAUUCUUUGGAGGAGGCUGAGUGGCCAUCUGUCCAGAGUGGUUUUAUUGCAUAUUCCUGCAGGCAAUGGACUGGACUGGUCUUUUCUGUGAUUCUUCCAAAGUGACAAAAAAGAGGGAGCUGGACUUGGAAAUGGUUGCUCUCUAGAAAGUCAUCUGUCCUGCCUGGGAAAACAUGUUUGAAGUACUUGCUGAGCUGCCAUCUCAUUUCCAAUGGGAUAGAACUAGAACAUUUCCAAAAACUGUCAGGUUUAUCACCUUCUCCCAUUCCUUUGAGCAUUUUUGAAACCACAAGAGAUUAGAGAGUACCAUAUCAAACAGGAAAACUAAACUGUCAAAAUUGCGGCAUAAGUAACCAUUGAAGUCUGCAAUGCAUUCAAAUAAUAAACGAAAGAGAUGAAUAUUUUACAAUUUUGUCUAAGUUCUUCAUCACACACCUUGGCAAAUGUUUACAUUUUAAUUCAGAAUACAGAGAGUUUUCGGCCCCAAAAUCUGCUUUGAGAUUAAUUCUACAUCCAGCACACAAAUCUGCCCCAAAAAUUGCUCAACCAUGGUAUUUUAACUUACAUUUAUCAAAAGCAACUGAACUCAAUAAGUAAAGUAGAAAUCAUGUAAACUUUCAUGUGUGCACACAUUUUUCAAGUAGUAGUAGGUCCUGAAGAUCAUUAGUGCCUCACAGCCUCUGAGGAUGCCUGCCAUAGAUUGGGCAACACGUAAAGUGAUUUUAAAGAGGCAGGAUUGUUGCACUCUAAAUGUUACUCAUUCUGAUAUGGAGGGAGUGCCUGCUGAGUAUGGGGAGUUCUCUGAUGUAUUUUGUAAAAAAGAAGCGGACAAAUUACCACCGCACAGGCCAUAUGAUUGCGCCAUCAAGUUGGCAGAAGGUGCGAAACUGCCAGCAGGGAGGCUGUAUGCCUUGACUGUACCGGAAAGGCAAGCUUUGCGGGAGUUUCUAGAUGAAAAUUUAGCCAAGGGGUUUAUUCGCCCAUCUAGUUCUCCAACUGCGGCACCAGUAUUCUUUGUAGCCAAAAAGACUGGGGAACUUAGGCUGGUCUGCGACUAUCGGAUCCUAAACAAAUACACCAUUCGGGAUAGGUACCCGCUCCCUUUAAUCUCGGAACUGUUAUCAAGGGUGCAAGGGGCUAAGGUCUUUACCAAGCUUGACCUGCGGGGGGCCUAUAACUUAAUCCGUAUACGGGAAGGGGAUGAAUGGAAGACGGCAUUUAACACGUGUUUCGGAUGCCACGAGUUCCGAGUCAUGCCUUUUGGGCUUUGUAAUGCUCCUGCGGUCUUCCAGAGGUUCAUGAACGAUGUGUUCAGGGACCUAAUUGACCAAUUUUUAGUGAUUUAUUUGGAUGAUAUCUUGAUUUUUUCUAAGGACGAGAAAGAACAUCGUCAACAUGUCAAGCAG
RNAcentral lists this long non-coding RNA (1439 nucleotides) under Anolis carolinensis (green anole). RNAcentral describes it as "lncRNA (ENSACAG00000034783.1)". The record is from RNAcentral. Lineage: Eukaryota; Metazoa; Chordata; Lepidosauria; Squamata; Anolidae.